AACGCACAUUGCGCCCUUUGGUAUUCCGAGGGGCAUGCCUGUUCGAGCGUCAUUUCAACCCUCAAGCUUCUGCUUGGUAUUGGGCUUUUCAUCCACUUUUUUUUUCAAAAGAGGAUGUGCCUGAAACUCAUAGGCGGUUCUAAUCAACUUCUUUGCGUAGUUAUUUUUUCUUUCGCUCUGGAGGCUUUGGUUAUAACCCGCCUAAGAAAACCUUUAUUUUCUUAGUUUUGACCUCGGAUCAGGUAGGGAUACCCGCUGAACUUAA
Molecule: unclassified non-coding RNA, 265 nt
Filed under: uncultured Tubeufiaceae
Lineage: Eukaryota; Fungi; Ascomycota; Dothideomycetes; Tubeufiales; Tubeufiaceae
Description: sequence contains ITS2
Source: RNAcentral